CUUGACGGAACCGAGCCACAGCGGCCGGCCGUCCCGGCCCUGCCCGUACGCCGCCAGCAGUGCCUGCGCCUC
Molecule: antisense RNA, 72 nt
Filed under: Rhodococcus jostii RHA1
Lineage: Bacteria; Bacillati; Actinomycetota; Actinomycetes; Mycobacteriales; Nocardiaceae
Description: ASpks TB sRNA
Rfam family: ASpks TB sRNA
Source: Rfam by way of RNAcentral